Molecule: long non-coding RNA, 916 nt
Filed under: Rattus norvegicus (Norway rat)
Lineage: Eukaryota; Metazoa; Chordata; Mammalia; Rodentia; Muridae
Description: long non-coding RNA NONRATT010371
Source: RNAcentral
GAGCUCCGAGUGCAGCAGAUGGUUUCCAUGGGCAUUGGGAAUAAACCUUUCCUGGACAUUAAAGCCCUUGGGGAACGGACACUGAGUGCCCUGCUCACUGGAAGAGGUGAGGUCCAGAGUGCUGGGGGGGGGGGGGGGAUGUUCCGAGAGUCAGAUCUAGAUACAAAAUCAAUGGGGUGCCAAGUGGGCAUCUCUUCCCAAAAUGUGGGACUCCCUGGGAAGCCCUCUGUGAGCUGUUCCACGGAGCCAGGAGGACUUUUCCACACCAGCACCCCACCACCCCAACUCCCCACUCUCUGCAGCCGCCCGAACCCGGGCCUCCGUAGCCGUGUCAUCCUUUGAGCAUGCUGGCCCGUCCCUUCCCGGCCUCUCACCGGGAGCCUGCUCCCUGCCUGCCCGCGUCGAGGAGGAGGCCUGGGAUCUGGACGUCAAGCAGAUUUCCCUGGCCUCAGAAACACUUGACUCUUCUGGAGAUGUGUCCCCAGGACCAAGAAACAGUCCCAGCCUGCAGUCCCCCAACCCUGGGAGCAGUACUCCUGCUCUGAGCAGUGGCGGGAUCUUAGGGCUAUCCAGGCAGGCCUGGCUGAGAGGCAUCAAGAGUCAUUCCCGAGCCCUGAGUGACCCCACCACGCCUCUGUGAACUAGGAACCAGAGUGACCCUGUUUGCUUGCCUUUAUGCACUGGGGACAGGGAAAUGUCCCUCUUGCUAUGCAACUGCACACCCCUGGGACACUGCUCUGAUGACAACCCACUAUUCUUCCCAGAAGACUCAUCUCGGCCAGGCUGAAUGGAAUUCCAUUCUGGGGUAUCACGGGAAAUGAAGUGUUCUAAGCCACUGAAGGAGAUGGGGUGGGCAUUGCAGACUUUAUAUGUAAUUACUGUUAUUAUACUAUUUACAUUAAAUGUAUUUACUCUC